This 83-nucleotide transfer RNA is filed under the name Cordylochernes scorpioides. RNAcentral's name for it is "tRNA-Glu". The record is from RNAcentral. Lineage: Eukaryota; Metazoa; Arthropoda; Arachnida; Pseudoscorpiones; Chernetidae.
GUUUCUGAGGGGGUCGGUGGAAGGCUGGUUAAACCGUUUGGUUUUCGACCACUAGGACCCGGGUUCGAUUCCCGCAUUGAACA